Molecule: long non-coding RNA, 7305 nt
Filed under: Brassica rapa (field mustard)
Lineage: Eukaryota; Viridiplantae; Streptophyta; Magnoliopsida; Brassicales; Brassicaceae
Description: long non-coding RNA (BRAP_LNC003595)
Source: RNAcentral
CCCGAUCCCCCGGCGUCCGACCGGAGUUAUCGAAGGGGCGUUAUGGACACGUGUCUACUCAUUUAGACAACCCUACGUGUCCCGUUACUGGUCCCGAGAGACGAGCGCAUAACCUUCUUUGAAAAACGUCACACCCACGUCCAUAUACUUCUACUUACAGUCCUGCGCACAGGGAAAAUGGAAAUGGAGGAGUGAGCAACAAGUUACUCAGUGAAGUGGUUCUAGACCAGCCUGCCCGCAUGACUCUCUAUACUACUCUAUGCGGGAACUAGGACUGACUAGCCACUACAAACAGUUAAUGCAUUUUUAUCAUUUCCUAUCGUCAUCGGUAAUUUCCACAUUCACUUCAUUCAUUUCUAACAACCUAGCGAUCAAUCAAUACAAUGAUCUCGCUCAUUGCCACACACGUCGAACCCUAGACUUAACCGACUCAUCUUACCAGACCGACUCGAUCCUAAGACACCUUUAACUUCCCGUUACCCGACCAUGAGCUAAAGACCCUACAAUGCACAUCUUUUCAUCUUUUCAUCUUUUCCUCUUUUCCUCUUUUCCUCUUUUCCUCAGUGGGUAGCCCCCCACUAGGCUUCUACCCCAUAUUCAUGUGGAUUCGCCACAUCUCCUAUGGGUGCUUCCAUAUUCAUGUGGAUUCGCCACAUCUCCUAUGGAUACCUAGCGUGGACUACUUACCCCACCUACAAACCUUAGACUCACUAUAUGCUUUCCCACCCAUGCUUAACCUUAACAUCGUUCUUUCAUACUUUUACUUAUCCUUUCACUUCCUUAUCGUCUUCACUUAAUCCCUCCCAUUCCCAAUUACUUUCCCUUUUCAUUCAUACUUGUACUUGGACUCAAUCACUAGACGCCACCCGUUAUCGGUGUCACACACAAUACACAUCGCAUUCAAGUUCUACUUCAAUAUCAUUAUCAAUCAUUACUCAUCUAUCAUCCUAGCACUCAUUUCUCUCUAGCAUCCUAACUUUAAUCACAAACCACACAUGGGACUACACAUUCAAACAUACAAGCAUCACUCAUCAACCAAUCAACAUCACCACAACAUAGAUCAGUUCAUCAAGUCCCAUUUAUCAGUAUGAGGGUUCUUAUGCAUCAUGAUCCAUUCAUCUAUCAUCCUAGCAAUACCAUGUCCUAUCAUCCUAACUCCCAAUCAGGGUCUAAUCAAACCUAACUCCAACAUAUAGGAGUAUACAGAACCAUGAAAGAAGGUUGGGUUCGAAACACUCCACCUUAGUCUUAGAUCUGGAUCUGGAAACGUGGAUUGAGAAGGUUGAGAUCUGGUCAGCACCACCACUUCACGGCGCCGGCGAGAGGGAGAGAGAGAGAGAGCGUGCGACGGCGAGGAGAGAGAGAGAGAGCGACGCGCGGGAGAGAGAGAGGAGAGAGAGAGACGGCACAGGAGAGAAGGAGAGAGAGCUCGACGGCUAGGGUUUUCGACCUCCGGGAAUUCUCUGCAGAGCUUCGCUUCAGAUUUGUGAUGAGGCAAAAAGGGAGACUGCAUCUCUUUUUAUAGUAAAGGGAAGGGGAAGCCCUAGGGUUUUGCUAAAUGGGCCGUAGAGAAGCCCAUAUUCUUUGGGAAAUUUUUAUGGGCCAGGAACCGGGCCGUUACAAUCCUCCCCCGUUAAUCGGAAUUCGUCCCCGAAUUCCAAAGCCCACAUCUUUCAGACCAAUCGUUCGUUACCAAAAUGGAUUCACACAUUCACACAACAAUCAAGGGAGGCAUACAUGACACGAUAACUCUACUGGAAUCUUUAAAACCAACGAAGGAAUGUCAUAAAUAAUAAAAGGAGUAGGACUACAAUAGUUUGUAAAAGAAAACCCAGCACAUCUGCACAAUACAGAAUGCCGUAAAUAAGGGAAGGAACACCAACUCCAAUAACCAAUAAAUGAAAUAAAACCAAUAGCGAAACACGUGUCCUACUCCUACGAAUCGUCUCUAGGAUCUCGUCUAGCCACAUUGACAUGGCGAGGGGCAGCGGGACUCGGAUCCCAGGUCUUCAUCGCCCUCUGCGACGCGGUCCUCCUCGGCCUCCGCCUCCUUUCCCGCCAACCACUCCUCCGCGUGCAGUGCUUGGUUAGCCAUCCUUCUCACCAGUGCAAAUUCCAGAGGCUCCAGGACUCCCACGAGUUCUUCACGAAUAUCCCCACGUAGCCCGGCCCUAAACAGAUGACACCACUCCUCAGCUGGCUUCGGUUGACACAUCUUGGCCGUAUCCAAGAACUCCUCCAGGUAAUCUCUCACCUUGCGUGGCUUCUGAACCAUCUGGACCAGUACGUCACAAUCACAUGUUACUGUAGGUGGUUUUCGCGGACGCCCCCGCUUUCCCUUAGCGGGUGUCCCUACCGGCACCUCAUGGCCAUCGACGUCCCCACCCGGGUUUCCUCCUUCCAUGCUCGAGAGAGCGGCCACAUCGGCUGCAAUCUUCUCUUCUGCCUCCAUGGCGAAGCCUGCCAUCCGCCUCACUAACGCGAACUCCAAGGGCUCCAAAACACCCCUCAACUGCGCCUGGAGCUCCUGGCGUAGCCCGUUCUUAUACCAUAUGCACCACGUCUCUGCAUUCUUCGGUUUGCACAGCUUGGCUUGGUUGAUGAAGUCCUCCGUGUAUCCAGCGACUGAUCGGUCCUCCUGAGCAUUCUUGCUCAGCACUCCACACUGGCACUUCCCGGUGAACGCCCUUGGGGGUCCCCCUGCUGCACUUGGCGUCUUGCAGGGACGGCCACGCUUCCUCGGGGGUCCCUCUUCGGUUGCAAGCUGGAACCUCGCAUUGCCCUGCAGUAGGCGUGUCUCCAUAGCCAUCCUCUGGAAAUGAGGCAUCAACACCUUAUGCCUCACAGUCUGCUCGUGCGGGUACCUGAAUGGGAACUCCCUGUACUGUUCUUCAGGAUCCGGAAACAUGGGUAGCACCAAGUUACCCUCCCUGUCAUAGUGACGCCUUUGGGCAUACUCCCUGGUGUUCCUCCGUCCGUAGUGCAUACGCGGCAUCCUCCACUCGUAAUGGUCAAGCGAAAACAUCCUGCAAUAAAAUUUCAAUCAGAACCAUAAUAGAAGUAUGGAUAUAGUGGGAUUUUCAAUUAAUUUUUCACAAUCCGAAAAUACUUAGUAAUAUUGCAAUUUUUUUUUUUUUUUUUUUUUUUUUUUUUUUUUUCCGAAAACGAAAUAUAAAUUUUUUUUUUUUUUUUUUUUUAAAACGUCGGAAAUGCCGAUCCCUUAGGCAGAACUAAGGGAUCUUAACCCGCUCUGAUACCAAUUGUAACAGCCCGAUCCCCCGGCGUCCGACCGGUUAUCGAAGGGGCGUUAUGGACACGUGUCUACUCAUUUAGACAACCCUACGUGUCCCGUUACUGGUCCCGAGAGACGAGCGCAUAACCUUCUUUGAAAAACGUCACACCCACAUCCAUAUACUUCUACUUACAGUCCUGCGCACAGGGAAAAUGGAAAUGGAGGGGUGAGCAACAAGUUACUCAGUGAAGUGGUUCUAGACCAGCCUGCCCGCAUGACACUCUAUACUACUCUAUGCGGGAACUAGGACUGACUAGCCACUACAAUCAGUUAAUGCAUUUUUAUCAUUUCCUAUCGUCAUCUGUAAUUUCCACAUUCACUUCCAUUCAUUUCUAACAACCUAGCGAUCAAUCAAUACAAUGAUCUCACUCAUUGCCACACACGUCAAACCCUAGACUUAACCGACUCAUCUUACCAGUCCGACUCGAUCCUAUGACACCUUUAACUUCCCGUUACCCGACCAUGAGCUAAAACCCUACAAUGCACAUCUUUUCAUCUUUUCAUCUUUUCCUCUUUUCCUCUUUUCCUCUUUUCCUCAGUGGGUAGCCCCCCACUAGGCUUCUACCCCAUAUUCAUGUGGAUUCGCCACAUCUCCUAUGGGUGCUUCCAUAUUCAUGUGGAUUCGCCACAUCUCCUAUGGAUACCUAGCGUGGACUACUUACCCCACCUACAAACCUUAGACUCUCUAUAUGCUUUCCCACCCAUGCUUAACCUUAACAUCGUUCUUUCAUACUUUUACUUAUCCUUUCACUUCCUUAUCGUCUUCACUUAAUCCCUCCCAUUCCCAAUUACUUUCCCUUUUCAUUCAUACUUGUACUUGGACUCAAUCACUAGACGCCACCCGUUAUCGGUGUCACACACAAUACACAUCGCAUUCAAGUUCUACUUCAAUAACAUUAUCAAUCAUUGCUCAUCUAUCAUCCUAGCAUCAUUUCUCUCUAGCAUCCUAACUUCAAUCACAACCACACAUGGGACUACACAUUCAAACAUACAAGCAUCACUCAUCAACCAAUCAACAUCACCACAACAUAGAUCAGUUCAUCAAGUCCCAUUUAUCAGUAUGAGGGUUCUUAUGCAUCAUGAUCCAUUCAUCUAUCAUCCUAGCAAUACCAUGUCCUAUCAACCUAACUCCCAAUCAGGGUCUAAUCAAACCUAACUCCAACAUAUAGGAGUAUACAGAACCAUGAAAGAAGGUUGGGUUCGAAACACUCCACCUUAGUCUUAGAUCUGGAUCUGGAAACGAGGAUUGAGAAGGUUGAGAUCUGGUCAGCACCACCACUUCACGGCGCCGGCGAGAGGGAGAGAGAGAGAGAGCGUGCGACGGCGAGGAGAGAGAGAGAGAGCGACGCGCGGGAGAGAGAGAGGAGAGAGAGAGACGGCGCAGGAGAGAAGGAGAGAGAGCUCGACGGCUAGGGUUUUCGACCUCCGGGAAUUCUCUGCAGAGCUUCGCUUCAGAUUUGUGAUGAGGCAAAAAGGGAGACUGCAUCUCUUUUUAUAGUAAAGGGAAGGGGAAGCCCUAGGGUUUUGCUAAAUGGGCCGUAGAGAAGCCCAUAUUCUUUGGGAAAUUUUUAUGGGCCAGGAACCGGGCCGUUACAAUCCUCCCCCGUUAAUCGGAAUUCGUCCCCGAAUUCCAAAGCCCACAUCUUUCAGACCAAUCGUUCGUUACCAAAAUGGAUUCACACAUUCACACAACAAUCAAGGGAGGCAUACAUGACACGAUAACUCUACUGGAAUCUUUAAAACCAACGAAGGAAUGUCAUAAAUAAUAAAAGGAGUAGGACUACAAUAGUUUGUAAAAGAAAACCCAGCACCUCUGCACAAUACAGAAUGCCGUAAAUAAGGGAAGGAACACCAACUCCAAUAACCAAUAAAUGAAAUAAAACCAAUAGCGAAACACGUGUCCUACUCCUACGAAUCGUCUCUAGGAUCUCGUCUAGCCACAUUGACAUGGCGAGGGGCAGCGGGACUCGGAUCCCAGGUCUUCAUCGCCCUCUGCGACGCGGUCCUCCUCGGCCUCCGCCUCCUUUCCCGCCAACCACUCCUCCGCGUGCAGUGCUUGGUUAGCCAUCCUUCUCACCAGUGCAAAUUCCAGAGGCUCCAGGACUCCCACGAGUUCUUCACGAAUAUCCCCACGUAGCCCGGCCCUAAACAGAUGACACCACUCCUCAGCUGGCUUCGGUUGACACAUCUUGGCCGUAUCCAAGAACUCCUCCAGGUAAUCUCUCACCUUGCGUGGCUUCUGAACCAUCUGGACCAGUACGUCACAAUCACAUGUUACUGUAGGUGGUUUUCGCGGACGCCCCCGCUUUCCCUUAGCGGGUGUCCCUACCGGCACCUCAUGGCCAUCGACGUCCCCACCCGGGUUUCCUCCUUCCAUGCUCGAGAGAGCGGCCACAUCGGCUGCAAUCUUCUCUUCUGCCUCCAUGGCGAAGCCUGCCAUCCGCCUCACUAACGCGAACUCCAAGGGCUCCAAAACACCCCUCAACUGCGCCUGGAGCUCCUGGCGUAGCCCGUUCUUAUACCAUAUGCACCACGUCUCUGCAUUCUUCGGUUUGCACAGCUUGGCUUGGUUGAUGAAGUCCUCCGUGUAUCCAGCGACUGAUCGGUCCUCCUGAGCAUUCUUGCUCAGCACUCCACACUGGCACUUCCCGGUGAACGCCCUUGGGGGUCCCCCUGCUGCACUUGGCGUCUUGCAGGGACGGCCACGCUUCCUCGGGGGUCCCUCUUCGGUUGCAAGCUGGAACCUCGCAUUGCCCUGCAGUAGGCGUGUCUCCAUAGCCAUCCUCUGGAAAUGAGGCGUCAACACCUUAUGCCUCACAGUCUGCUCGUGCGGGUACCUGAAUGGGAACUCCCUGUACUGUUCUUCCGGAUCCGGAAACAUGGGUAGCACCAAGUUACCCUCCCUGUCAUAGUGACGCCUUUGGGCAUACUCCCUGGUGUUCCUCCGUCCGUAGUGCAUACGCGGCAUCCUCCACUCGUAAUGGUCAAGCGAAAACAUCCUGCAAUAAAAUUUCAAUCAGAACCAUAAUAGAAGUAUGGAUAUAGUGGGAUUUUCAAUUAAUUUUUCACAAUCCGAAAAUACUUAGUAAUAUCGCAAUUUUUUUUUUUUUUUUUUUUUUUUUUUUUUUCCGAAAACGAAAUAUAAAAAAUUUUUUUUUUUUUUUUUUUUUUAAACAUCGGAAAUGCCGAUCCCUUAGGCAGAACUAAGGGAUCUUAACCCGCUCUGAUACCAAUUGUAACAGCCCGAUCCCCCGGCGUCCGACCGGAGUUAUCGAAGGGGCGUUAUGGACACGUGUCUACUCAUUUAGACAACCCUACGUGUCCCGUUACUGGUCCCGAGAGACGAGCGCAUAACCUUCUUUGAAAAACGUCACACCCACGUCCAUAUACUUCUACUUACAGUCCUGCGCACAGGGAAAAUGGAAAUGGAGGAGUGAGCAACAAGUUACUCAGUGAAGUGGUUCUAGACCAGCCUGCCCGCAUGACUCUCUAUACUACUCUAUGCGGGAACUAGGACUGACUAGCCACUACAAACAGUUAAUGCAUUUUUAUCAUUUCCUAUCGUCAUCGGUAAUUUCCACAUUCACUUUCAUUCAUUUCUAACAACCUAGCGAUCAAUCAAUACAAUGAUCUCGCUCAUUGCCACACACGUCGAACCCUAGACUUAACCGACUCAUCUUACCAGACCGACUCGAUCCUAAGACACCUUUAACUUCCCGUUACCCGACCAUGAGCUAAAGACCCUACAAUGCACAUCUUUUCAUCUUUUCAUCUUUUCCUCUUUUCCUCUUUUCCUCUUUUCCUCAGUGGGUAGCCCCCCACUAGGCUUCUACCCCAUAUUCAUGUGGAUUCGCCACAUCUCCUAUGGGUGCUUCCAUAUUCAUGUGGAUUCGCCACAUCUCCUAUGGAUACCUAGCGUGGACUACUUACCCCACCUACAAACCUUAGACUCACUAUAUGCUUUCCCACCCAUGCUUAACCUUAACAUCGUUCUUUCAUACUUUUACUUAUCC